This 203-nucleotide long non-coding RNA is filed under the name Lathyrus oleraceus (garden pea). RNAcentral describes it as "Pisum sativum (pea) long non-coding RNA (PSAT_LNC038081)". Lineage: Eukaryota; Viridiplantae; Streptophyta; Magnoliopsida; Fabales; Fabaceae. The record is from RNAcentral.
UCUUUGACCCUAGUCUUGGACUAGUGGUUUGUGAUCUCACUGUUGAGUUGUGUUUCAGGUUAAUAGCACAAAUGGCCUAUGCUUGAUGAUGUGCUCCCAUUGGAAUUGACUUGUGACUUGUGUAUAGCUAAUUUUGACUUUGUUUUGCAGGGAUUGAUAUUUGAGUUUGAGUUGGCUUGCACUUUGGUGCAUUGGAUUGUGUU